Long non-coding RNA from Macrobrachium nipponense, 498 nucleotides. RefSeq lists it as uncharacterized. NCBI's taxonomy places the organism in Eukaryota, Metazoa, Arthropoda, Malacostraca, Decapoda, Palaemonidae. The record is from RefSeq and is a predicted model, not a curated record. The transcript has 3 exons.
AGGAGAAGCAGACGAAGAGAAGUGUGCAGUCCAGGCUUGACACUUUCUUUCACAAGUCUCCAGUACCACCACCUCCCACUCCUAGUCCUGGUAAGGAAUUCUGAACUGUUUUACUAAUUUAUGUGUUUACAUAGUGUACAUAUAAAAUGUGUUAAUUUUUUAAUGUAACAACUAAAUGUUAGAGUAAAUUGUAACUUCAUUAAUUUUCAUCAUUUGUAAUUUUAUUGCAGAAGUGGUGACAGUUCCAGAUCCCCCUGUACUACCUGUGACAGUUCCAGAUCUCCCUGUACUACCUGUGACAGUUCCAGAUCCCCCUGUACCUGGACCCUCUGUAGCAGCCCGUCCACCUGUACUACUACAAUCAGACACCUUUGAUAGUGACAGCAACCCAGAUGACCCUGAGCCUUUCCAUGGUUUUGAUGGCUCGCCCUAUUCAUCAGAUCUAGAUGUUCCCUCAUCAGAGCCCAAAUCAGUUGAUACGAGUAGUAUCACCUCUCC